Molecule: ribosomal RNA, 1399 nt
Filed under: Klebsiella quasipneumoniae
Lineage: Bacteria; Pseudomonadati; Pseudomonadota; Gammaproteobacteria; Enterobacterales; Enterobacteriaceae
Description: bacterial SSU rRNA
Rfam family: Bacterial small subunit ribosomal RNA
Source: RNAcentral
GUCGAGCGGUAGCACAGAGAGCUUGCUCUCGGGUGACGAGCGGCGGACGGGUGAGUAAUGUCUGGGAAACUGCCUGAUGGAGGGGGAUAACUACUGGAAACGGUAGCUAAUACCGCAUAACGUCGCAAGACCAAAGUGGGGGACCUUCGGGCCUCAUGCCAUCAGAUGUGCCCAGAUGGGAUUAGCUAGUAGGUGGGGUAACGGCUCACCUAGGCGACGAUCCCUAGCUGGUCUGAGAGGAUGACCAGCCACACUGGAACUGAGACACGGUCCAGACUCCUACGGGAGGCAGCAGUGGGGAAUAUUGCACAAUGGGCGCAAGCCUGAUGCAGCCAUGCCGCGUGUAUGAAGAAGGCCUUCGGGUUGUAAAGUACUUUCAGCGGGGAGGAAGGCGAUAAGGUUAAUAACCUUGUCGAUUGACGUUACCCGCAGAAGAAGCACCGGCUAACUCCGUGCCAGCAGCCGCGGUAAUACGGAGGGUGCAAGCGUUAAUCGGAAUUACUGGGCGUAAAGCGCACGCAGGCGGUCUGUCAAGUCGGAUGUGAAAUCCCCGGGCUCAACCUGGGAACUGCAUUCGAAACUGGCAGGCUAGAGUCUUGUAGAGGGGGGUAGAAUUCCAGGUGUAGCGGUGAAAUGCGUAGAGAUCUGGAGGAAUACCGGUGGCGAAGGCGGCCCCCUGGACAAAGACUGACGCUCAGGUGCGAAAGCGUGGGGAGCAAACAGGAUUAGAUACCCUGGUAGUCCACGCCGUAAACGAUGUCGAUUUGGAGGUUGUGCCCUUGAGGCGUGGCUUCCGGAGCUAACGCGUUAAAUCGACCGCCUGGGGAGUACGGCCGCAAGGUUAAAACUCAAAUGAAUUGACGGGGGCCCGCACAAGCGGUGGAGCAUGUGGUUUAAUUCGAUGCAACGCGAAGAACCUUACCUGGUCUUGACAUCCACAGAACUUAGCAGAGAUGCUUUGGUGCCUUCGGGAACUGUGAGACAGGUGCUGCAUGGCUGUCGUCAGCUCGUGUUGUGAAAUGUUGGGUUAAGUCCCGCAACGAGCGCAACCCUUAUCCUUUGUUGCCAGCGGUUAGGCCGGGAACUCAAAGGAGACUGCCAGUGAUAAACUGGAGGAAGGUGGGGAUGACGUCAAGUCAUCAUGGCCCUUACGACCAGGGCUACACACGUGCUACAAUGGCAUAUACAAAGAGAAGCGACCUCGCGAGAGCAAGCGGACCUCAUAAAGUAUGUCGUAGUCCGGAUUGGAGUCUGCAACUCGACUCCAUGAAGUCGGAAUCGCUAGUAAUCGUAGAUCAGAAUGCUACGGUGAAUACGUUCCCGGGCCUUGUACACACCGCCCGUCACACCAUGGGAGUGGGUUGCAAAAGAAGUAGGUAGCUUAACCUUCGGGAGGGCG